GAUGAACGCUGGCGGCGUGCCUAAUACAUGCAAGUCGAGCGAACAGACGAGGAGCUUGCUCCUCUGACGUUAGCGGCGGACGGGUGAGUAACACGUGGAUAACCUACCUAUAAGACUGGGAUAACUUCGGGAAACCGGAGCUAAUACCGGAUAAUAUAUUGAACCGCAUGGUUCAAUAGUGAAAGACGGUUUUGCUGUCACUUAUAGAUGGAUCCGCGCCGCAUUAGCUAGUUGGUAAGGUAACGGCUUACCAAGGCAACGAUGCGUAGCCGACCUGAGAGGGUGAUCGGCCACACUGGAACUGGGACACGGUCCAGACUCCUACGGGAGGCAGCAGUAGGGAAUCUUCCGCAAUGGGCGAAAUCCUGACGGAGCAACGCCGCGUGAGUGAUGAAGGUCUUCGGAUCGUAAAACUCUGUUAUUAGGAAAGAACAAAUGUGUAAGUAACUAUGCACGUCUUGACGGUACCUAAUCAGAAAGCCACGGCUAACUACGUG
Molecule: ribosomal RNA, 497 nt
Filed under: uncultured bacterium
Lineage: Bacteria
Description: partial 16S ribosomal RNA
Rfam family: Bacterial small subunit ribosomal RNA
Source: RNAcentral